Molecule: long non-coding RNA, 1354 nt
Organism: Zalophus californianus (California sea lion)
Lineage: Eukaryota; Metazoa; Chordata; Mammalia; Carnivora; Otariidae
Exons: 6
Source: RefSeq, a predicted model, not a curated record
AUGCCUGCCUGCCUCCCGGGCGAAGGCGGACCACCCACCACUGGGGGAAUAAGUCGCACAUGGAGCCCGUUGCUUGGUCACUUGGCAUCUGGUUUUACUUUAUCAUUACUAUUGCUAUUUUACCUCGGCUGUCUUCUGUGCAUCCUUCCAGUGAAUUUAGCAUCUCCUCAUCUCUGGAAAGACCCAGGAGCCGCACCCUAGUUCUCCCUCUUAUGCCACUCUCACCUCCAGGGACACCCUGUUCUCUGGCAACUGUUCCCCCCCGCCAGCACCUGCGCCUGGACAUUUUCUGAUUCUCAGCCGGGCUCACUGAGCUGCCUCCCCGCAGUAUUAUCUGCCUUGGAGAGGCUUCAGGGUGGGAGGGAGAAUGCGGGGCAUCACCGAGGGGACCUGACAGAGGAGGGUGAAAAAGCAGCCUGUGGCAACAGGUGAAGGGAGCUGUUUCCGAGGAGGACGACAAGGAGUGUAGAGGGUGAACAAAGAGGGAUCCAUACCCGUAAGAUGCUCCCAGCUAAUAGAGAAAGCAGACAUACUUCCUGUAGCUCUCUGGACAAGCCUCUUCUUAUGUCUGGCUUCCUGGGCCGUGGGUGUCAAAAGUGCCUAGACCGUGGCAGGUACCCAGGAGGAACUCAAUGAAUAUUUGGUGAAUGAAUGAGCCAAUGGACAAAAGAUCACAUUUGGAGUUUACAGAAUUUCUCAUUAGAUUCUGGUUCUGAUGUCAAUUCCUUUCUCCCCUGCUCCCUUGGAAGAGAUGCCUGUCCUUAGAAAGCUCUAACGAACUCUAGCCUGAUUUGCUGAUGAGGCCUUCAGAUGGUAUUUCUGCAUUGUUGCUUACUUUUUAAGAAGAGGUUGUUGGAAGACAGGACAUUUUAAAGCCAUAAUGGAAUCUGAGCUAAAGCGUACAAAACGAAAGCACCAGGAUGUAGGACUACAGAAUCCCAAUCUAAUCACGAGAAAAACAUCAGACACACACAACUGAGGGACAUUCCACAAAAUACUGAAUCAGUAACUCCUCCAAACCAGCAAGGUCAUCAAAAAAAGGAAAGUCUGAGAAACCAUCACAGCCAAGAGGACCCUAAGGAGACAGGAUCAUGAGAUGUAAUGUGGGAUCUGGGGGAUGGGUGGGGGGGGGAUACAAGCUGAGGGAAACUUAGGAAAUCUGAACAAAGUGUGGAUUUUCCUUCAUAACAAUGUUAUCAGUAUUAUUAGUUCAUCAAUUGUAACAAAUGUACCAUACUAAUGUAAGAUGUUAAUAAUGGGAGAAACUGGUGUCAGGUGUAUGGGGGCACUGUAAAUCUUCUCUCAUUUUCUAUAAAUCUAAAACUGUUCUAAAAAUUAAAGUCUGUUAUAUAUA